UAUAGAGGUCUCAAGCGUUGUUCGGAUUCAUUGGGCGUAAAGGGUGUGUAGGUGGCGCGCUAAGUCGGGUGUGAAAUUUCGGAGCUUAACUCCGAAACUGCAUUCGAUACUGGCGUGCUUGAGGACUGGAGAGGAGACUGGAAUUCAUGGUGUAGCGGUGAAAUGCGCAGAUAUCAGGAGGAACACCGGUGGCGAAGGCGGGUCUCUGGGCCGAUACUGACGCUGAGGAGCGAAAGCGUGGGGAGCGAACAGG
RNAcentral lists this ribosomal RNA (253 nucleotides) under uncultured bacterium. RNAcentral's name for it is "partial 16S ribosomal RNA". It matches the Rfam family "Bacterial small subunit ribosomal RNA", at positions 524 to 776 of the family's 1533-position model. The record is from RNAcentral.